Molecule: ribosomal RNA, 764 nt
Filed under: uncultured fungus
Lineage: Eukaryota; Fungi
Description: SSU rRNA
Rfam family: Eukaryotic small subunit ribosomal RNA
Source: RNAcentral
UUUAGCAUGGAAUAAUGGAAUAGGACUUUGGUUCUAUUUUGUUGGCUUCUAGGACCGAAGUAAUGAUUAAUAGGGAUAGUUGGGGACGUUAGUAUUUAGAUGUCAGAGGUGAAAUUCUUAGAUUUUCCAAAGACUAACUUCUGCGAAAGCAUUCGUCAAGGAUGUUUUCAUUAAUCAAGAACGAAAGUUAGGGGAUCGAAGACGAUCAGAUACCGUCGUAGUCUUAACCAUAAACUAUGCCGACUAGGGAUCGGACGAUGUAUAAUUAAUGACUCGUUCGGCACCUUAUGAGAAAUCAAAGUUUUUGGGUUCCGGGGGGAGUAUGGUCGCAAGGCUGAAACUUAAAGGAAUUGACGGAAGGGCACCACCAGGAGUGGAGCCUGCGGCUUAAUUUGACUCGACACGGGGAAACUCACCAGGUCCAGACACAAUGAGGAUUGACAGAUUGAGAGCUCUUUCUUGAUUUUGUGGGUGGUGGUGCAUGGCCGUUCUUAGUUGGUGAAGUGAUUUGUCUGCUUAAUUGCGAUAACGAACGAGACCUUAACCUGCUAAAUAGCCCGUAUUGCUUUGGCAGUACGCUGGCUUCUUAGAGGGACUAUCGGCUCAAGCCGAUGGAAGUUUGAGGCAAUAACAGGUCUGUGAUGCCCUUAGAUGUUCUGGGCCGCACGCGCGCUACACUGACGGAGCCAGCGAGUACUCCCUUGGCCGGAAGGCCUGGGUAAUCUUGUUAAACUCCGUCGUGCUGGGGAUAGAGCAUUGCAAUA